ACACAUUUUGAUCUUCGGUAGAGCAUGAGACUCUUAAUCUCAGGGUAGUGGGUUUGAGCCCCACAUUGGGCA
RNAcentral lists this transfer RNA (72 nucleotides) under Dryobates pubescens (Downy woodpecker). Its description in RNAcentral is "Picoides pubescens (downy woodpecker) tRNA". It matches the Rfam family "tRNA". Rfam says of the family: Transfer RNA (tRNA) molecules are approximately 80 nucleotides in length. Their secondary structure includes four short double-helical elements and three loops (D, anti-codon, and T loops). Lineage: Eukaryota; Metazoa; Chordata; Aves; Piciformes; Picidae. The record is from Rfam by way of RNAcentral.